UAGGGAAUCUUCCGCAAUGUGCGAAAGCUUGACGGAGCAACGCCGCGUGAGUGAUGAAGGUCUUCGGAUCGUAAAACUCUGUUAUUAGGGAAGAACAAAUGUGUAAGUAACUAUGCACGUCUUGACGGUACCUAAUCAGAAAGCCACGGCUAACUACGUGCCAGCAGCCGCGGUAAUACGUAGGUGUCAAGCGUUAUCCGGAAUUAUUGGGCGUAAAGCGCGCGUAGGCGGUUUUUUAAGUCUGGUAUGAAAGCCCACGGCUCAGCCGUGGAGGGUCAUUGAAAUCUAAAAAACUUGAAUGCAGAAGAGGAAAGUGAAAUACCAUGUGUAGCGAUGAAAUGUGCAGAGAUAUGGAGGAACACCAGUGGCGAAGGCGACUUUCUGAUCUGUAAAUGACGCUGAUGUGCGAAAGCGUGGGGAUCAAACAGG
Molecule: ribosomal RNA, 429 nt
Filed under: Actinomycetes bacterium
Lineage: Bacteria; Bacillati; Actinomycetota; Actinomycetes
Description: Actinobacteria bacterium partial 16S ribosomal RNA
Rfam family: Bacterial small subunit ribosomal RNA
Source: RNAcentral